UGGGGAAUAUUGCACAAUGGAGGGAACUCUGAUGCAGCGACGCCGCGUGAACGAAGAAGGCUUUCGAGUCGUAAAGUUCUUUUAUAUGGGAAGAUAAUGACGGUACCAUAAGAAAAAGCCCCGGCUAACUACGUGCGAGCAGCCGCGGUAAUACGUAGGGGGCUAGCGUUGUCCGGAAUCACUGGGCGUAAAGGGUUCGCAGGCGGAAAUGCAAGUCAGGUGUAAAAGGCAGUAGCUUAACUACUGUAAGCAUUUGAAACUGCAUAUCUUGAGAAGAGUAGAGGUAAGUGGAAUUUUUAGUGUAGCGGUGAAAUGCGUUGAUAUUAAAAAGAAUACCGGUGGCGAAGGCGACUUACUGGGCUCAUUCUGACGCUGAGGAACGAAAGCGUGGGUAGCAAACAGG
RNAcentral lists this ribosomal RNA (403 nucleotides) under bacterium. RNAcentral's name for it is "partial 16S ribosomal RNA". It matches the Rfam family "Bacterial small subunit ribosomal RNA", at positions 355 to 776 of the family's 1533-position model. The record is from RNAcentral.